UUAAGUUCAGCGGGUAUCCCUACCUGAUCCGGGGUCAAAAUUGUGAAGAUAGCUUCUGGGAGCUGAUCCAUCGGGAUCGAGUUCGCGUUUCUGCUGCGCUCGAAGCCAAUGUACCGGCCGCCAAUAAUUUUGAGGCGAGUCCGCACCCCGAGAGGCGGGACAGUCACCCAACACAAGCUGAGCUUGAAGGUUUAAAUGAC
RNAcentral lists this unclassified non-coding RNA (200 nucleotides) under uncultured Ascomycota. RNAcentral describes it as "sequence contains ITS2". The record is from RNAcentral. Lineage: Eukaryota; Fungi; Ascomycota.